This 665-nucleotide ribosomal RNA is filed under the name uncultured Bacilli bacterium. Its description in RNAcentral is "bacterial SSU rRNA". It matches the Rfam family "Bacterial small subunit ribosomal RNA", at positions 85 to 738 of the family's 1533-position model. Lineage: Bacteria; Bacillati; Bacillota; Bacilli. The record is from RNAcentral.
CUCUGGAUGAGUUGCGAACGGGUGAGUAACGCGUAGGUAACCUGCCUGGUAGCGGGGGAUAACUAUUGGAAACGAUAGCUAAUACCGCAUAAUAGCAGUUGUUGCAUGACAGCUGUUUGAAAGGUGCAAUUGCACCACUACCAGAUGGACCUGCGUUGUAUUAGCUAGUUGGUGGGGUAACGGCUCACCAAGGCGACGACACAUAGCCGACCUGAGAGGGUGAUCGGCCACACUGGGACUGAGACACGGCCCAGACUCCUACGGGAGGCAGCAGUAGGGAAUCUUCGGCAAUGGACGGAAGUCUGACCGAGCAACGCCGCGUGAGUGAAGAAGGUUUUCGGAUCGUAAAGCUCUGUUGUAAGAGAAGAACGAGUGUGAGAGUGGAAAGUUCACACUGUGACGGUAUCUUACCAGAAAGGGACGGCUAACUACGUGCCAGCAGCCGCGGUAAUACGUAGGUCCCGAGCGUUGUCCGGAUUUAUUGGGCGUAAAGCGAGCGCAGGCGGUUAGAUAAGUCUGAAGUUAAAGGCUGUGGCUUAACCAUAGUACGCUUUGGAAACUGUUUAACUUGAGUGCAAGAGGGGAGAGUGGAAUUCCAUGUGUAGCGGUGAAAUGCGUAGAUAUAUGGAGGAACACCGGUGGCGAAAGCGGCUCUCUGGCUUGUA